This 438-nucleotide ribosomal RNA is filed under the name Triticum aestivum (bread wheat). RNAcentral describes it as "partial small subunit ribosomal RNA". The record is from RNAcentral. Lineage: Eukaryota; Viridiplantae; Streptophyta; Magnoliopsida; Poales; Poaceae.
AUGGCUAGUGCCAACAUUAUUAUCCUUGUUGUCUUGCUCUUCUCCUUGGUGCUCACGCUUCUGCUUCCCACUGCUGCCUGUGCUCGCCAUGGUGAGUUCCUCUCCGAUCUAUAUAGAUCAUGUGUCCUAGUUUGUGUUGUUACUUACCCCGAGUCCCAUUGGCAUGCAGCUCCAGCAGCUGCGGUGCUUAACGCAAAAGAUGGCCUCAACGACACCGGAGGACUACAUCAUGUGGUGGUCACUGACGCGGGGAAGGCUGGCCCUGUCACGAGCGACAGUGGCGGCUUCUGGCCGGGAACGGCUGAGGCGUGUGUGGCGUCAAGGCACCGGGGCGACACGGCCACCGUGAUGCAAGACAUGCUCGGGAUGGAUUACUCUCCGGCGGUGCGCAAGCCCCCGCGUCGCGCAGGCCCCCCGGCGCCGAGGUCUUUGAAAUAA